RNAcentral lists this ribosomal RNA (254 nucleotides) under uncultured bacterium. RNAcentral's name for it is "partial 16S ribosomal RNA". It matches the Rfam family "Bacterial small subunit ribosomal RNA", at positions 524 to 776 of the family's 1533-position model. The record is from RNAcentral.
UACGAAGGGUGCUAGCGUUGUUCGGAAUCACUGGGCGUAAAGCGCGCGUAGGCGGCGACACAAGUCAGAGGUGAAAUCCCAGAGCUUAACUCUGGAACUGCCUUUGAAACUGUGUUGCUAGAGUACUGGAGGGGAGUGGGGAAUUCCUAAUGUAGAGGUGAAAUUCGUAGAUAUUAGGAGGAACACCGGUGGCGAAGGCGCCACUCUGGACAGUAACUGACGCUGAGGCGCGAAAGCGUGGGGAUCAAAACAGG